This 245-nucleotide ribosomal RNA is filed under the name uncultured delta proteobacterium. Its description in RNAcentral is "partial 16S ribosomal RNA". It matches the Rfam family "Bacterial small subunit ribosomal RNA", at positions 524 to 768 of the family's 1533-position model. Lineage: Bacteria; Deltaproteobacteria. The record is from RNAcentral.
GACGGAGGGUGCGAGCGUUAUUCGGAAUUAUUGGGCGUAAAGGGCGCGUAGGCGGCCGGUCAAGUCAGAUGUGAAAGCCCAGGGCUUAACCCUGGAAGUGCAUUUGAAACUGGUCGGCUUGAGUUCGGGAGAGGAAAGCGGAAUUCCGGGUGUAGAGGUGAAAUUCGUAGAUAUCCGGAGGAACACCGGUGGCGAAGGCGGCUUUCUGGACCGAAACUGACGCUGAGGCGCGAAAGCGUGGGGAG